RNAcentral lists this ribosomal RNA (740 nucleotides) under uncultured bacterium. RNAcentral describes it as "bacterial SSU rRNA". It matches the Rfam family "Bacterial small subunit ribosomal RNA", at positions 28 to 796 of the family's 1533-position model. The record is from RNAcentral.
GAUGAACGCUGGCGGCGUGCCUAACACAUGCAAGUCGAGCGAUUCACUUCGGUGAAGAGCGGCGGACGGGUGAGUAACGCGUGGGUAACCUGCCUCAUACACAUGGAUAACAUACCGAAAGGUAUGCUAAUACAGGAUAACAUAAGAGAUUCGCAUGGAUUUCUUAUCAAAGCUCCGGCGGUAUGAGAUGGACCCGCGUCUGAUUAGCUAGUUGGUAAGGUAAUGGCUUACCAAGGCGACGAUCAGUAACCGACCUGAGAGGGUGAUCGGCCACAUUGGAACUGAGACACGGUCCAAACUCCUACGGGAGGCAGCAGUGGGGAAUAUUGCACAAUGGGCGAAAGCCUGAUGCAGCAACGCCGCGUGAGUGAUGAAGGCCUUCGGGUCGUAAAACGCUGUCCUCAAGGAAGAUAAUGACGGUACUUGAGGAGGAAGCCCCGGCUAACUACGUGCCAGCAGCCGCGGUAAUACGUAGGGGGCUAGCGUUAUCCGGAUUUACUGGGCGUAAAGGGUGCGUAGGUGGUUUCUUAAGUCAGGAGUGAAAGGCUACGGCUCAACCGUAGUAAGCUCUUGAAACUGGGAAACUUGAGUGCAGGAGAGGAAAGUGGAAUUCCUAGUGUAGCGGUGAAAUGCGUAGAUAUUAGGAGGAACACCAGUAGCGAAGGCGGCUUUCUGGACUGUAACUGACACUGAGGCACGAAAGCGUGGGGAGCAAACAGGAUUAGAUACCCUGGUAGUCC